This 393-nucleotide ribosomal RNA is filed under the name uncultured bacterium. RNAcentral describes it as "partial 16S ribosomal RNA". It matches the Rfam family "Bacterial small subunit ribosomal RNA", at positions 523 to 918 of the family's 1533-position model. The record is from RNAcentral.
AUACGGAGGAUCCGAGCGUUAUCCGGAUUUAUUGGGUUUAAAGGGAGCGUAGGCGGACUAUUAAGUCAGCUGUGAAAGUUUGCGGCUCAACCGUAAAAUUGCAGUUGAUACUGGUCGUCUUGAGUGCAGUAGCGGUAGGCGGAAUUCGUGGUGUAGCGGUGAAAUGCUUAGAUAUCACGAAGAACUCCGAUUGCGAAGGCAGCUUACUGGACUGUAACUGACGCUGAUGCUCGAAAGUGUGGGUAUCAAACAGGAUUAGAUACCCUGGUAGUCCACACAGUAAACGAUGAAUACUCGCUGUUUGCGAUAUACAGUAAGCGGCCAAGCGAAAGCGUUAAGUAUUCCACCUGGGGAGUACGCCGGCAACGGUGAAACUUAAAGGAAUUGACGGGG